AGCUUUGCGCAGUGGCAGUGUGACAGCCAGUGAGGUUUCUGCGAGGCACGGCUAUUGCUAAUUGAAAGAUUUCCCAAUGCCCCGCAUGACAGUUUGCAGUGCAGUGGGCACUGGGGAUUGUUGACAGUCUCUAUGGAC
This 138-nucleotide small nuclear RNA is filed under the name Microcebus murinus (gray mouse lemur). Its description in RNAcentral is "U4 spliceosomal RNA (ENSMICG00000042565.1)". It matches the Rfam family "U4 spliceosomal RNA". Rfam says of the family: U4 small nuclear RNA (U4 snRNA) is a component of the major U2-dependent spliceosome. Lineage: Eukaryota; Metazoa; Chordata; Mammalia; Primates; Cheirogaleidae. The record is from RNAcentral.